Molecule: ribosomal RNA, 292 nt
Filed under: uncultured bacterium
Lineage: Bacteria
Description: partial 16S ribosomal RNA
Source: RNAcentral
GGACUACCCGGGUAUCUAAUCCUGUUUGCUCCCCACGCUUUCGCACCUCAGCGUCAGUAUCGAGCCAGUGAGCCGCCUUCGCCACUGGUGUUCCUCCGAAUAUCUACGAAUUUCACCUCUACACUCGGAAUUCCACUCACCUCUCUCGACCUCAAGACUGGGAGUUUCAAAGGCAGUUCCAAGGUUGAGCCCUGGGAUUUCACCUCUGACUUUCCAAUCCGCCUACGUGCGCUUUACGCCCAGUAAUUCCGAAUAACGCUAGCCCCCUCCGUAUUACCGCGGCUGCUGGCAC